This 429-nucleotide ribosomal RNA is filed under the name uncultured bacterium. RNAcentral describes it as "bacterial SSU rRNA". It matches the Rfam family "Bacterial small subunit ribosomal RNA", at positions 355 to 776 of the family's 1533-position model. The record is from RNAcentral.
UGGGGAAUCUUGCGCAAUGGGCGAAAGCCUGACGCAGCAACGCCGCGUGUGUGAUGAAGGUCUUCGGAUCGUAAAGCACUGUCGCGGGGGAAGAGACGCCAUUUGAUAACACCAGAUGGCUACGACGGUACCCCGAGAGGAAGCACCGGCUAACUCUGUGCCAGCAGCCGCGGUAAUACAGAGGGUGCGAGCGUUGUUCGGAAUUAUUGGGCGUAAAGCGCUUGUAGGCGGUCGUCUAAGUCUCAUGUGAAAGCCCUUGGCUCAACCAAGGAAGUGCAUGAGAUACUGAACGACUCGAGUGCCGGAGAGGGUCGCGGAAUUCCCGGUGUAGAGGUGAAAUUCGUAGAUAUCGGGAGGAACACCAGUGGCGAAGGCGGCGACCUGGACGGACACUGACGCUGAGACGCGAAAGCGUGGGGAGCAAACAGG